Molecule: RNA transcript, 1897 nt
Organism: Zingiber officinale
Lineage: Eukaryota; Viridiplantae; Streptophyta; Magnoliopsida; Zingiberales; Zingiberaceae
Gene name: casein kinase 1-like protein 4
Exons: 16
Source: RefSeq, a predicted model, not a curated record
CUUGAGCCAAGUCGUUGGGUUCGCUUGGCUUCGGUCGAGUGGCCAAUCAACCGCCGCCCUACGACUGGGAUAACAACGAAGAAGCCGCCUCCCUUUCUCGUCCUCGCAGCUAUGUCUUUAAAUUACCUGAAAUGCCCCAGCGAUGUCUUCCCCGGCCCGUCGUCUGAGUAGUGCCCAUAGCUGGAGAUCUGUCUCGUGAAAUCUUCGAUCCUGUUGCAGCCCAGUUAUUGGAUGCUCUUCUGGGACGAACAAAGGACAAGUAGGCCAUGGAUCGGAUCGUCGGCGGGAAGUACAAGCUAGGGCGCAAGAUUGGGAGCGGAUCCUUCGGAGAGAUCUUUCUCGCGACGCACGUUGACACGUUUGAGAUCGUCGCGGUUAAGAUCGAGAACAGCAAGACCAAGCAUCCACAGUUGCUUUAUGAGGCCAAGCUGUAUAGCAUUCUUCAGGGAGGAAGUGGUGUCCCAAACACAAAAUGGUGUGGUGUUGACGGGGAGGAAAAUGUUCUUGUUCUCGAUUUGCUUGGUCCAAGCCUUGAAGAUUUGUUUGUCUAUUGUGGUCGGAAAUUCUCAUUAAAGACAGUUCUGAUGCUUGCAGAUCAAAUGAUUACAAGAAUAGAAUAUGUGCACUCAAAAGGUUUUCUGCACAGAGACAUCAAACCUGAUAACUUCCUAAUGGGUCUUGGUCGGAAGGCCAAUCAGGUGUAUAUCAUUGACUUCGGACUUGCAAAACGAUAUAGGGAUUCUAAUACCAAUCGUCAUAUCCCAUACAGAGAAAACAAAAACUUGACUGGAACUGCUCGCUAUGCUAGCUGCAAUACUCAUCUUGGCAUUGAGCAAAGUCGUCGGGAUGAUUUGGAAUCGCUUGGUUAUGUUCUCCUCUAUUUUCUCAGAGGGAGUCUUCCAUGGCAAGGGCUAAAAGCUGCCACAAAGAAGCAGAAGUAUGACAAGAUAUGCGAGAAGAAGCUUUCAACUCCCAUUGAAGUUUUAUGCAAAUCCCACCCUGUGGAAUUUGCUUCAUAUUUCCACUAUUGCCAUUCUUUGACCUUUGAACAACGGCCUGACUAUGGAUUCCUGAAGCGUCUUUUUCGUGACUUGUUCACUCGUGAAGGUUAUGAAUUUGAUUUUAUUUUUGAUUGGACAAUUCUGAAAUAUCAGCAAGCCCAAAGGACAAGAUGUCAACCACGAUCCUCUCCGGUCUCUGGUGGAAUGACUAGUCGAGCAAUUCCAAUGGAUGUCGACAAACAAGCUACCAGUUCAAGCAACAUUCCUCACGCUGACGGAGUCACAGAACGCAUGGUACCAAGUAGUGCUGCUCGCCCAGCAGUUCAAAUGCAACUUAAACACAUAACUGAGAGGAACAUAAGUUCUGAUGUUGAUCGUCUUGAUAAGUUGAGGGCUGGAACAAGUUCUGGAAGACCACAUGUACCGUCCACAUCAUUUGCUUUUCCUGGCUCCACAAAGAAACAUGCCUUGAAUUCCAGACAAUCAGGGCCAACUGAUGUUUCACAUGUUGGGUCAUCCAGCAGUUGGCUUCCAACACUGCAGCGCAAUGCUUCAGCCAAGUGACUGGUGUAGAUUCAGUGGUCGGGGUCAAACAUUGAGAUAACAUAUGCUGCUAAAGGUUGCUGCACCGUUAUUGCUGAAGUCACAUCGUGGAUAUCAGAAUACAUUGUGUAUUCCUAUUAAGAGAAUGAUGCUGUUAAUAUAGAGGAUUACUUUUGAAGAUUACCGACAUGGAAUCUGCAUCAACUCGGACUUCUUACAGAGAAACGACGAAAACGUUCUGUCCUGAUAGCUUGAAAAAACAGGUAUUCUCUUGGUGGAUGCGAGCCCUGGCUAUUAUAUGAUAUAUAUCUCGCACUAAUUAAUAAUAUAUAUAAGAGUAGUAGUUUUGAUUU